RNAcentral lists this non-coding RNA (26 nucleotides) under Rattus norvegicus (Norway rat). Lineage: Eukaryota; Metazoa; Chordata; Mammalia; Rodentia; Muridae. The record is from RNAcentral.
UGAAUUUCUUUUUCCAGUGAGGGCAA